Long non-coding RNA from Scylla paramamosain (green mud crab), 1223 nucleotides. RefSeq lists it as uncharacterized. Lineage: Eukaryota; Metazoa; Arthropoda; Malacostraca; Decapoda; Portunidae. The record is from RefSeq and is a predicted model, not a curated record. The transcript is spliced from 2 exons.
ACUAACUCAAACACAUAUUUCAUAUGUAAAACACAAGGCAGAGAAACGGAAAUAGGACACAGAAAGAAAGAAAAGAACAAUCUUGUUGAUUGGGAAGGGACGCUUCUCAUACAAAACAUCACACAAAAAUAGCAAGGUGGUUAGCCCACCAACUUUUCUCUUCUACGGUCUUUCAAUAUUUUCUAACCUUUAUACUUCUUCUAUACUAACUCUUAUUCUUCACCCCUCUUUUCUAAAGAAAAAAAAAAAAAAAGUUUGGUUAAACCAAGCAAGAACAUCAAACACUGUUUGAUAGCGUUUGAUAUUCUGAUGCGCUGGUAAAAAUACCUAUAACUAGUGCAUAGAAAUGCUGUGAUUUUACAUUUAAUCUAUUUAUGUAUUCAAACAUCAUCCUGAUAAGACUGUCCAUCAGGGAUCAACAGUCUUUUUCACAAAUUAUAUUGUAUUUUUUUUUUUUUUUUGUGAAUAAAAGCAUUAAAAAAAAUUCUCUCUCUCUCUCUCUCUCUCUCUCUCUCUCUCUCUCUCUCUCUCUCUCUCUCUCUCUCUGUGGCCUUUGAAAACAGUUGUGGUGAGAGGAAAGCGCUUCAGAGUACGGGCUUACGUAUCUCAACAGGUAUUUCAUUACUCGUCUGUUUCAGUGUGAGAAGGCAGCCAGUGUACCUCAUGACGUGCAGUACUGCUUAGUGUUCAGUUGUUAUAACAUUUCUAAGUAUUGUUUCAGAUAUACGAGGAGAGGAUUUGUAGAGUGAAGUAGGGAUGUCACUGGAUUCAGAUAUGUGUUGAUGUACAAUUUAACCAACAAGUAUCACUCCAUUGUUUAGCAUGAUGGUGUAUGGGUUACACUGGAUUCAGAUAUGUGUUGAUGUACAAUUUAACCAACAAGUAUCACUCCAUUGUUUAGCAUGAUGGUGUAUGGGUUACUGAAGGGUAUAAUGUAUUACGGUAUCAUUAUUGUUGUUAUGGACAUUUGGCAUAUCAGUAAAAGUGAUUUUGGUAAUUAUAUGAUUACGGUCAACUACCACUGUUACUAUCGUUGGCUGUACAAUUGUUGGUUACAAGGCAGAAGGCAGGUGUUAGGAGCUGAGGUGUGGUAGGUCAGCGUGAGGUGUCGCCAGUGUGCGGCAGGCAGUCAGACUAUGUUGAAGGCUAAAGCGGAGUUUCCUUGCUGGCUAAAAGAAAUCGCUUACAGUUCACGCUACUCAAUAAAGAAGAAAGUGAGGACA